AAUAGAUACCCCCGGGUAGUCCACGCCGUAAACGAUGGAUACUAGCUGUUGGAGGUAUCGACCCCCUCCAGUAGCGAAGCUAACGCGUUAAGUAUCCCGCCUGUGGAGUACGGUCGCAAGACUAAAACAUAAAGGAAUUGACGGGGGACCCGCACAAGCGGUGGAUUGUGUUCUUUAAUUCGAUGAUAAACGGAGAACCUUACCAGGGUUUGACAUCCCAAGAAUUAUGCCGAAAGGCGUGAGUGCUUUAUUGAACUUGGUGACAGGUGAUGCAUGGCCGUCGUCAGCUCGUGUCGUGAGAUGUUUGGUUAAGUCCAUCAACGAGCGCAACCCUUGUGAAUAGUUGAAUUUUUCUAUUCAGACUGCCCCGGCAACGGGGAGGAAGGAGGGGAUGAUGUCAGGUCAGUAUCUCCCUUACAUCCUGGGCUAGAAACGCAAUACAAUGGUUAGUACAAUGCGCAGCGAAGCCGCGAGGUGAAGCAAAUCGCAUCAAAGCUAAUCCCAGUUCGGAUAAGAGGCUGAAACUCGCCUCUUG
RNAcentral lists this ribosomal RNA (535 nucleotides) under uncultured bacterium. RNAcentral describes it as "bacterial SSU rRNA". It matches the Rfam family "Bacterial small subunit ribosomal RNA", at positions 777 to 1321 of the family's 1533-position model. The record is from RNAcentral.